RNAcentral lists this transfer RNA (75 nucleotides) under Gemmatimonadota bacterium. RNAcentral describes it as "tRNA-Pro". It matches the Rfam family "tRNA". From Rfam's summary of the family: Transfer RNA (tRNA) molecules are approximately 80 nucleotides in length. Lineage: Bacteria; Pseudomonadati; Gemmatimonadota. The record is from RNAcentral.
CGGGGCGUAGCUUAGCCCGGUAGAGCGCCUGCUUCGGGAGCAGGAGGUCGCAGGUUCAAAUCCUGUCGCCCCGAC